Molecule: transfer RNA, 74 nt
Filed under: Acidimicrobiales bacterium
Lineage: Bacteria; Bacillati; Actinomycetota; Acidimicrobiia; Acidimicrobiales
Description: tRNA-Val
Rfam family: tRNA
About the family: Transfer RNA (tRNA) molecules are approximately 80 nucleotides in length. Their secondary structure includes four short double-helical elements and three loops (D, anti-codon, and T loops). Further hydrogen bonds mediate the characteristic L-shaped molecular structure. tRNAs have two regions of fundamental functional importance: the anti-codon, which is responsible for specific mRNA codon recognition, and the 3' end, to which the tRNAs corresponding amino acid is attached (by aminoacyl-tRNA synthetases). tRNAs cope with the degeneracy of the genetic code in two manners: having more than one tRNA (with a specific anti-codon) for a particular amino acid; and 'wobble' base-pairing, i.e. permitting non-standard base-pairing at the 3rd anti-codon position.
Source: RNAcentral
GGGCGAUUAGCUCAGUCGGCUAGAGCGCUGCCUUCACACGGCAGAGGUCGAGGGUUCGAGUCCCCCAUCGCCCA